Molecule: ribosomal RNA, 434 nt
Filed under: uncultured bacterium
Lineage: Bacteria
Description: bacterial SSU rRNA
Rfam family: Bacterial small subunit ribosomal RNA
Source: RNAcentral
AACGAACGCUGGCGGCAGGCCUAACACAUGCAAGUCGAACGCCCUAGCAAUAGGGAGUGGCAGACGGGUGAGUAACGCGUGGGAACCUUCCCUAUAGUACGGAAUAUACCAGGGAAACUUGGAGCAAUACCGUAUACGCCCGAAAGGGGAAAGAUUUAUCGCUAUAGGAUGGGCCCGCGUAGGAUUAGCUAGUUGGUGAGGUAAUGGCUCACCAAGGCGACGAUCCUUAGCUGGUCUGAGAGGAUGAUCAGCCACACUGGGACUGAGACACGGCCCAGACUCCUACGGGAGGCAGCAGUGGGGAAUAUUGGGCAAUGGGCGCAAGCCUGACCCAGCCAUGCCGCGUGAGUGACGACGGCCUUAGGGUUGUAAAGCUCUUUUGGCGGGGACGAUAAUGACGGUACCCGCAGAAUAAGCCCCGGCUAACUUCGUGC